UUUUUUAAAUAUAAAUUUAUUUAUUUUAAUUGGAGGUUAAUUACUUUACCUAAUAAAAAAAAGAUCCAAAGAAAGUAUGUAUACCCUAACUUAUCUCAUGCUAGGGAAAGAGGUUUAAUAAGAAUAUAUCAGACUAGUGAAGUUUGUUUGAAUUAGCCCUUAUUAUUUGCAGCUUACAUUGACCUCUCCAGGAAUGGGCUAUCAUGUGUCUUAUCUUUUUCUAAGCUAGUAUCUCCAUUUAGUAUGGGCAGAGUUGAUAUGUGGGUCUUGUAGCAGCAUGGACUCUUGGUGUUCAGGGACUUAUAGUAAUCCCUUGCAGUUUCUGAAAUCAAUCUUUCUUUGAAAUGGGCCACUCAAUUUGUAACUUCUUUCUCCUACAUUUAGAGUUAUGAAUUUGCAUGAAAGAAAUGGAAGUCAGAGCACAUUUUUUGAAUAGACUAUAUAAAAAGAGCUUUCCAAGAAGAUUGGUGCUUUUGCCAACAUAAUCUAGGUUUNNNNNNNNNNNNNNNNNNNUCUUGCACUUUUCUCUUGCGUUGGAAUGUACGAACUGGGAAUUAUACCCUACAUUCAUGUGUGGUACGGCCAAUGACCAUUCACAUCAAAGGACCCAACUCCUCUUGCUUAAGGUUUCAUUCUCUCUGGACUGGUAGAAUGUUGGCAAACUCCACAUUAUGCCUUUCCCUUGCUUCUGUUCCUCUUCUCUACCAACCAGCAUGCCUUCCUCUGUUCUCUCCCUGCCUAAACCUAUACUUCAUGGCUCCCUCUAGUACCACCAUCUCCCUGAAGCCUUUUCUAAGUACUUCUUCUCAAACCAAACAUCCUGUCCUUGAAAUUCAGAUAGUACUCUCGAGUCGUUACCGUAAUGUUUUACACUUAGUUAUCAUAUAACUUGGGCUUCCCUGAUGUCUCAGAUAGUAAUGAAUCUGCCCACACUGCAGGAGAACGGGGUUCAGUCCAUGGGUUGGGAAGAUCCCCUGGAGAAUGGAAUGGGAACCCACUCCAGUAUUCUUGCCUGGAGCAUUCCAUGGACAGGGGAGCCUGGCGGGCUACAGUCCAUGGGGUUGCUAGGAGUUGGACACGAUUGAGCAACUAUCACACACAUCCUUUAACUUGUGGCUUCCCUGGUGGCUCNNNNNNNNNNNNCUGCCUGCAGUGCAGGAGACCUGGGUUCGAUCCCUGUGUUGGGAAGAUCCUCUGAAGAAGGAAAUGGCAAUCCACUCCAGUAUUCUUUCCUGGAAAAUCCCAAUAACAGAGGAGACUGGUGGCCUAUAAUCCUUGGGGCCUCAAAAGAGUUGGACAUGACUAAGUAACUAAACAACAACAAUCCUGUACCUUAAGUUGUCCUUUUUUAUUGAUUUAGGUCUCUUUAGCCACUUCAUGCCUAUAGUGUACAUACUUACUUAUUUGUUUUUAAUCCAGCAGAGCACU
This 1428-nucleotide long non-coding RNA is filed under the name Capra hircus (goat). Its description in RNAcentral is "lncRNA (ENSCHIG00010029253.1)". Lineage: Eukaryota; Metazoa; Chordata; Mammalia; Artiodactyla; Bovidae. The record is from RNAcentral.